AGGAUGCUGAUGAGUGGUUGCAGACGCUCCGUAGCCAUCAAGAUGGAAUGACCCAUGCACAUUGAUGAUGUUUGAUUUACCGCGUUCAUCGUCCUCAUUUAAGCGACAUUUCAUUCAUAUUUGUAUAGUUUUGGGUAGAGGUUUAAGAUGUUUUGUGCAUUCUACAUUGCAUCUCAAUUUAGUGUCGCAUAUUCGUUUGGGGUCCAUUUAAUAUAAUUUUAAAGUGUUUUUUUAUAGAUAUCACACGGUGUAACAAUAAAAAAAAGUAGCAAAAUCAACAUUAUACAAAAUACCAUGGUUGAGAGAAAACCUAGUAGCAGCCAAAUGUGACAACAAUCACAAAUACACUAGUCUUGAAAUAUCUACUAGAAGCGCAUGUCUAUUGAGAUUGAACGACUAAUAAGUAACAGAGAGUGUGAGUCCUGAUAAACUGACCUUAAGGGCCAUGCGUAUAGUGGAUUUGGUCUAGCUCGACCACAAACCUCUGUAACACCAUGGGUAAUUAUAGAUGAAUCAAACACUUUUCGUCGUAUGAUUUGCCAGCAACAUUGCGACAGAGAAGCGGUGGGUGAAAGGUUCACUGAAAUGAACAAAAAGUAAACCAGUUAGAAAACACAAACACUGUAAAAUCAAAAGUCCAAAAAGCUUUCUUAGGUAGUGGUGAGGACCUGUUGUAAGUUUCUUACAGCUUCAUGAAUUAGCAGUUAGCCAAAUUUAGGUAUCUUGGGUGCUUCAAAGAUGAUAUACUGAACAUGCUCAUCAAUCAACAAUCAAAUUAUACAUUUCGAAAUUGCAACAGUAUAAACAAGCUUUCUAUCAAGUUUAUACAUUUCCAACAGUAUGAACAUACUAAUGAAUCACACUGAACGUGUUAAAUCUGUAACAGGACAAGGUUUCUAUCAGCAUAAACGACUGAAAUGCUCCCCCCUAUCAACUCUGCAGUAACAGAUGAACCCAGGGUUUUCGGGUCAUUUGGAAGAGGGAUCCAAACCCAGGAUUUUACGGGUCUAGAUUACAAUAUUACAGAGCUGUCGACCAAGUCCCCGAGCAGCAACAAAACAGUCAAAUCCAGAACUGAGCAAGAAUCAAGCUUAGUGCGAAUUGAACCAAUUGAGAGUGGGAAAACAAAGUUUACGAACCUCUGUUGAAAGAAUAGAGAUGUCGCCGUCGACGGAGGAGUCUUCUUCAAUCGCGGCUGCUAGUCCGAUGGAUGGAGAAAUUCGAAAUCC
This 1229-nucleotide long non-coding RNA is filed under the name Linum usitatissimum (flax). RNAcentral describes it as "long non-coding RNA (LUSI_LNC002776)". Lineage: Eukaryota; Viridiplantae; Streptophyta; Magnoliopsida; Malpighiales; Linaceae. The record is from RNAcentral.